Molecule: ribosomal RNA, 264 nt
Filed under: uncultured bacterium
Lineage: Bacteria
Description: partial 16S ribosomal RNA
Rfam family: Bacterial small subunit ribosomal RNA
Source: RNAcentral
CUUAAGUGGCGGACGGGUGAGUAACGCGUGGGGAACCUGCCUUGCACCGGGGGAUAACACUUAGAAAUAGGUGCUAAUACCGCAUAAGCGCACAGAGCCGCAUGGCUCGGUGUGAAAAACUCCGGUGGUGCAAGAUGGACCCGCGUCUGAUUAGCUGGUUGGCGGGGUAACGGCCCACCGAGGCGACGAUCAGUAGCCGGCCUGAGAGGGUGAACGGCCACAUUGGGACUGAGACACGGCCCAAACUCCUACGGAAGGCAGCAG